This 1372-nucleotide ribosomal RNA is filed under the name uncultured bacterium. RNAcentral's name for it is "bacterial SSU rRNA". It matches the Rfam family "Bacterial small subunit ribosomal RNA", at positions 28 to 1381 of the family's 1533-position model. The record is from RNAcentral.
GAUGAACGCUGGCGGCGUGCCUAAUACAUGCAAGUCGAGCGAACGGACGAGAAGCUUGCUUCUCUGAUGUUAGCGGCGGACGGGUGAGUAACACGUGGAUAACCUACCUAUAAGACUGGGAUAACUUCGGGAAACCGGAGCUAAUACCGGAUAAUAUUUUGAACCGCAUGGUUCAAAAGUGAAAGACGGUCUUGCUGUCACUUAUAGAUGGAUCCGCGCUGCAUUAGCUAGUUGGUAAGGUAACGGCUUACCAAGGCAACGAUGCAUAGCCGACCUGAGAGGGUGAUCGGCCACACUGGAACUGAGACACGGUCCAGACUCCUACGGGAGGCAGCAGUAGGGAAUCUUCCGCAAUGGGCGAAAGCCUGACGGAGCAACGCCGCGUGAGUGAUGAAGGUCUUCGGAUCGUAAAACUCUGUUAUUAGGGAAGAACAUAUGUGUAAGUAACUGUGCACAUCUUGACGGUACCUAAUCAGAAAGCCACGGCUAACUACGUGCCAGCAGCCGCGGUAAUACGUAGGUGGCAAGCGUUAUCCGGAAUUAUUGGGCGUAAAGCGCGCGUAGGCGGUUUUUUAAGUCUGAUGUGAAAGCCCACGGCUCAACCGUGGAGGGUCAUUGGAAACUGGAAAACUUGAGUGCAGAAGAGGAAAGUGGAAUUCCAUGUGUAGCGGUGAAAUGCGCAGAGAUAUGGAGGAACACCAGUGGCGAAGGCGACUUUCUGGUCUGUAACUGACGCUGAUGUGCGAAAGCGUGGGGAUCAAACAGGAUUAGAUACCCUGGUAGUCCACGCCGUAAACGAUGAGUGCUAAGUGUUAGGGGGUUUCCGCCCCUUAGUGCUGCAGCUAACGCAUUAAGCACUCCGCCUGGGGAGUACGACCGCAAGGUUGAAACUCAAAGGAAUUGACGGGGACCCGCACAAGCGGUGGAGCAUGUGGUUUAAUUCGAAGCAACGCGAAGAACCUUACCAAAUCUUGACAUCCUUUGACAACUCUAGAGAUAGAGCCUUCCCCUUUGGGGGACAAAGUGACAGGUGGUGCAUGGUUGUCGUCAGCUCGUGUCGUGAGAUGUUGGGUUAAGUCCCGCAACGAGCGCAACCCUUAAGCUUAGUUGCCAUCAUUAAGUUGGGCACUCUAAGUUGACUGCCGGUGACAAACCAGAGGAAGGUGGGGAUGACGUCAAAUCAUCAUGCCCCUUAUGAUUUGGGCUACACACGUGCUACAAUGGACAAUACAAAGGGCAGCGAAACCGCGAGGUCAAGCAAAUCCCAUAAAGUUGUUCUCAGUUCGGAUUGUAGUCUGCAACUCGACUACAUGAAGCUGGAAUCGCUAGUAAUCGUAGAUCAGCAUGCUACGGUGAAUACGUUCCCGGGUCU